This 443-nucleotide ribosomal RNA is filed under the name uncultured bacterium. Its description in RNAcentral is "partial 16S ribosomal RNA". It matches the Rfam family "Bacterial small subunit ribosomal RNA", at positions 338 to 795 of the family's 1533-position model. The record is from RNAcentral.
CCUACGGGCGGCAGCAGUGGGGAAUAUUGGGCAAUGGGCGCAAGCCUGACCCAGCAACGCCGCGUGAAGGAAGAAGGCUUUCGGGUUGUAAACUUCUUUUCUCAGGGACGAAGCAAGUGACGGUACCUGAGGAAUAAGCCACGGCUAACUACGUGCCAGCAGCCGGGGUAAUACGUAGGUGGCAAGCGUUAUCCGGAUUUACUGGGUGGAAAUGGCCUGUAGGGGGGAAAGCAAGUCAGAUGUGAAAACCAUGGGCUCAACCUGUGGCCUGCAUUGGAAACUGUUUUUCUUGAGUGCUGGAGAGGCAGACGGAAUUCCUAGUGUAGCGGUGAAAUGCGUAGAUAGUAGGAGGAACACCAGUGGCGAAGGCGGUCUGCUGGACAGCAACUGACGCUGAGGCGCGAAAGCGUGGGGAGCAAACAGGAUUAGAUACCCCUGUAGUC